This is an RNA transcript of Trifolium pratense (red clover), 3661 nucleotides long. RefSeq lists it as uncharacterized. The record is from RefSeq and is a predicted model, not a curated record. NCBI's taxonomy places the organism in Eukaryota, Viridiplantae, Streptophyta, Magnoliopsida, Fabales, Fabaceae. The transcript is spliced from 9 exons.
GACAGAAGUGGUUUAUGGAAACAAUUGUGGUUUUAUGAUUACUUUCCCAAUUUUUUUUUCAUUUAUGAAAUUGUUUUCUCUCUCUUCCCCCUCUCUCUCUCGUACGCUCUCCCUCUUUCUCAUCAUCCCACAGUUUCAUCUCUCUCAAUCCCCAUCUCAUCCUUCACCAUAACAUCUACACCACAACCUCCACCACCAUCUACGAAUCAAUCAAUCGUCAUGAGAGUGAGGGAGUGGCCGAGUGAGAGAAGAUUUACCGGCGGGAGAGAAGUUCUGGUGAGGAGGAGGAGUUCCGGCCGAGAGAGUUCUUGUGGCCGUUUGUGGUGACACGGCGGCGCUCGGCAACGGCGGCGACGAAGCUUCUUGCUCCUUCUUUCCUCUGGUUCGAUCUUAAUUUCUAUGCUCUAUUUAUUUUUUAUUUUUUUUCGUUGUUUUUUUUGUUGGUGAGGAUGGUUGAAGAUCGGAGGUGAUGGUGAUGUGUGGUGGUUAUGGUAGAUGGUGAUGUAUCUCCAAAUUCAUCUUCUAGAUUUCAUCUUUCUCAAUUUGUCAAUAUUCAUCUUUCUAUUACCUUUAGCAUUCUAUUUGUCAUUGUAAUUGCAUUUGUAUCAGAUGGUUUGAGUACAAUGCCGGACAAAGCAUCUGUCCUUUCUUCAAACACAUCCUUCAGCCAUGAAUUUCACGAACAUGGGGAUCAGAUAAUAAAGAAUUGCUUCAGAGGGAAGUUGGUUUUUGGUGGUUAUUCAGUUUCAGAUCAAAAUCACCGGAAAAGCCAGCGCGCCACCACCACAAAAGCUUUCUCUAUGCGACAGACAGGAGGGUUUAGAGCAAAAAGUAAAGAUUCUGGAAAGCAAUUUGAGUUCUUUUAGUGAGAAAGAGAAAAAAGAAGUAUCUGGAUUUGAAUAGAACAGUUUUUGGUGAAUGUGAAGAUGGCUAUUGUGCACUAUCAAAAUUUGUUAUCUUUCUCGCUUUCUUUUGGCAUACCUGGCAACGGGAAUGAAUGACAUGGAGCACACACAACAACGGUAGCAGCCUCCGAUGUAGAGGUUUGUGUAUCUCAUCUCAGCUCCAUAGAAUAUUUCUGGUUCUACUUUAGCUAGAUCUAUCCAUUUUGCUUAGAUAAAGGGUGGAUUUUGAUCUAGCUUGAAGGUUUUGAUCAUCUGUUAUAAGAGAGAGUUCCGACCGAGAGAGUUGCGGUGCUUGGCGAUGGAGGUGAUGAAGCCUUUUUCUCCUUCUUUCCUCCGGUUCGAUCCUUCAUUCGGAUGAUCAUCAACAAUCUAUUGAAGAAGAGAAGGCUUGAUUUGUGGUAUUUCUUUGAUGUUAAUACUCCCAAGAUGAAAAGAGAUCUCAUGAAGCAGCUUUGGCGAAGUGCAAGGGGUUAGAAGAACAAUUGCAAAGGUUAGACUUCCAUCCAAUAUCAUAAAGUUUGUAAGUACUGAAAUUACGCAUAUUCUGCAUGAUCCAUUCCUACUUGCAGGCAUGUUCACUACAUUAGUAUUCAUGUUGGUUUGAGUAAGAUAAUGUAGGAUUAAUAGUAGUAUCAGCCACUGGUUUAUAAUAUUGUUGGUAAACAUGGUUGAUUGGGGUGAUUAUCAUCAUAUGUCUAACUAAUCCAACAUUAGGGUUAACUUUUUGCAAAUGUUCGUGAACAAAUAACCACAUAUUCUAGAUUAGAUAGAUUCCACCCUUUUGUUUGUUUUAUCAUAUCAGUAGCACAGAUGUAGCAGUUUGAAUUUGAGUAUUCAGUUUACUGUGUUUUAUCAUGUCAGCAACACAGUUGCAGCAAUUUACAUUCAAAUUUGCCAGUUUACUUUUUUAUUACUGAAAUGCAUUCAAUUUGCUUUCAUAGUACUUAUAUUUCAAUUCGAAUUUUCAUGUUUGCUCUUCGAAUAAGUUCAAGCCAUUAGUGUUUUCCCAUUCCAAUGGCACAUUGCAUCAUUUUACAUUCAAGUUUUUCAAUUUUGUAUUGCUCAUAUUCCAAUUCAAUUUUUUCCUGUUUUCUCUUUGGUUAACCUUUUGAAAGUAUCAGUGUUUCAUCAUUCCAAUAACAUAAUAUCAAAAAUGUAAGCAUAGAUGAUUCUAAAUUCAUUUUCAACCUACAUGUGUUAAAUAGUAAGAAUCUAAAAAUGUAAACAUAGGUGAUUAUAAAUUCAUGUUCAACCUCCAUGUGGUAGCCUUUGAAAUGGAUCUGCAAUUUGUUAAUUUGAUUAUAAACAUUAGAUUGGAUGGCUUUGAACCCAUUAGUAGUCCUUCAUAUUUUCCAAACAUAAAAUUUGUAAUUAAGUGAUUAAUACUCAAUCAAAUCAUGCUCUCUGGUCUGAUCUCUACUAAAUUCCAAAUAAAACUAAUACACUCCACACUCUAUAGUGGUCCUUCACUCCUUCCUCUCCUCUCUAUUUGAAUAUUUUGAUGCAUGUGUACAUUUUCUUCCAUUAGACUCUUUCUUUGCAAUGAUAUCUCUUUUUGUCUUCUUAUUCAUUGUUUACUCCCAUCAACAAAAUUACUUCAACACUUCUUUUAAUUCCAACAUUAUUAUAUUUCUUAUAAUUUCAAUUUUUGCAUGAAAAUAUUAUUGGCAAAAAACAUGUAUAUUAUUGACAAAACAUGAAAUUUCACUAGCCAACUUACUAGCCAGCUUCAUGUAGCCAGCUUCAAUGAUGGAAAUGAUGUUUUCUUCAUUAACAAACUAAAUAGGUUGAUCAGGGUUGUUGAUUGAUGGGAAUGGCUAUUUGUUGAUGUUAAAUGGAUUAUAAACCUUGAACUUGAUAAAUUUCAUGUACAUCAACAUUUCACAACCUAGCUUUUAUAAUAGAUACAUCAAGUUAAUAUGCCACUUAGUUUACAUUAGAAAUUCUUGCAUUUACAACCUAUAGUUUUACAUUAAUAUUUUAAUAGUUCACUCAACUAUUCCUUGCACAAAUCUUCUAUAUUGUAUAGAUAUGAACCAUCGUUACAAAUUGCAUCCUGAUGUUCGUCCUUACGCAAUGAUGACCAGGACAGGAUAUAUGGAGUAUGAUCCCAUGAAGCCCCGAGGAAAGCUUCCAGAAAUCUAUGCACGUUCCAUUGGUCAAUACAUGUGAUACGGUUUUUUUGGAGGAUGUUAACAAGAAUCAGAUUCAAGUUGGUGUGCACAAAAAGAGUUCUUCAAAAAUUUAUUUUACUGAUGGCUGGUCAAUACAUAGGUGAUACGGUUUUUCUGGCCAGUGGCGUGAUAUUUGCAAAGUCCACCAUUUGGCUGAGGGUGUAACUGUGAGCUUUGGUGUCACUCAAGCAUCCAACAACAGGAUCAUAUACUUCAAGCUAUCCCCUUACAUUGGCAUACGAACUACUCUCAUUGCUCCUUCAACAUCCAGCAAGCGGAAGAAAUUUUAUGAGACUCAGCAUUUCUAUAUGCUCUAGGAUCCCUACUAUCUUGCUUUAGAACUAUCUUGCUUUUAUUUAUUUCUGAACCUAUGUUGUAAUAUCUCUGCCAAACUUGAUUUUCAUGCUUUUAGGCUUGGCCAUUUUGAGCUUGUGCUGUGCUUGCUCUAUUUUGCUUUAGAACUAUGUUGAUUUUCAUGCUUAAGAGCUUGGCCAUUUCGAACUUGUGUUGUAAUAUUUCUACAAGACUUUAUUUCCCUGCUUUUCAUAGUGCUUGCCCCAAUGCUUGCUCUUUUAUGAUUGA